Molecule: long non-coding RNA, 589 nt
Organism: Branchiostoma belcheri (Belcher's lancelet)
Lineage: Eukaryota; Metazoa; Chordata; Leptocardii; Amphioxiformes; Branchiostomatidae
Exons: 3
Source: RefSeq, a predicted model, not a curated record
CCAAGUACCACAAAGUUCAUCCUGAGAUCAUUAAAAUAGCUCCCCGCAUGCGGCCAGUGCUCUCGAGGUCUUGGAUUUCGCUGCAUCAGCUGGAUGUUUUGCUGCGAAAGGAACUAGAAACCUUCAAUAAGGCCGUAAAUUAACUUCAAAACGUCCAGAUUGAGUACAAAUGACAGUAAAAGACGUAAGUAGCUAGUCCCGUUAUUCGAAACAGGUGUCAGGACUUGAACACAGUUCAAAACUUGUCUCAGUAAGUUCCGCCUUGGCCAUCAGGAAAGCAAGCGGAUGUCGUAGGGGUCCUCCUUAUAAAGUUGUUGCUGACUUAAACGGCAUUUUCAAGCUCAACUGCAAACCCAUCCGACAGAUCAUACACUGUUGUGCUGCGUGAAACGUUUCCGACACUGCGGCCUGAAGAAGUGCAACACCUGGUUCUCACCAUGAAGGCACUGGUUAUCUUGUUCCUCGGUCUCAUCGUCUGUGCCCAAGCCAUGGAGAUUUCACGGGCUAAGCGCCGAGUAGUAGGGUGUAGUCGACCUGUACUCUGCUACGUGGACCCCUGUAUGACCGCGGACUGUCCUGGAGAGUGCAU